RNAcentral lists this ribosomal RNA (305 nucleotides) under uncultured bacterium. RNAcentral describes it as "bacterial SSU rRNA". It matches the Rfam family "Bacterial small subunit ribosomal RNA", at positions 30 to 334 of the family's 1533-position model. The record is from RNAcentral.
AUUGAACGCUAGCGGGAUGCCUUACACAUGCAAGUCGAACGGCAGCAUAAGAGAGCUUGCUCUCUUGAUGGCGAGUGGCGAACGGGUGAGUAAUGUAUCGGAACGUGCCCAGUAGCGGGGGAUAACUACGCGAAAGCGUAGCUAAUACCGCAUACGCCCUACGGGGGAAAGGAGGGGAUCCGCAAGGACCUUUCACUAUUGGAGCGGCCGAUUAGGUAGUUGGUGAGAUAACAGCCCACCAAGCCGACGAUCGGUAGCCGGACUGAGAGGUUGAUCGGCCACAUUGGGACUGAGACACGGCCCAG